This 73-nucleotide ribosomal RNA is filed under the name Pseudomonas sp. H3(2019). Lineage: Bacteria; Pseudomonadati; Pseudomonadota; Gammaproteobacteria; Pseudomonadales; Pseudomonadaceae. The record is from RNAcentral. RNAcentral also lists the same sequence under 1 other name.
CUUGACGACCAUAGAGCAUUGGAACCACCUGAUCCCAUCCCGAACUCAGCAGUGAAACGAUGCAUCGCCGAUG